This 500-nucleotide ribosomal RNA is filed under the name uncultured bacterium. Its description in RNAcentral is "bacterial SSU rRNA". It matches the Rfam family "Bacterial small subunit ribosomal RNA", at positions 29 to 518 of the family's 1533-position model. The record is from RNAcentral.
AUGAACGCUAGCGACAGGCUUAACACAUGCAAGUCGAGGGGUAACAGGGUAGCAAUACCGCUGACGACCGGCGCACGGGUGAGUAACGCGUAUGCAACCUGCCUAUAACUGGGGAAUAGCUCCCUGAAAGGGGGAAUUAACACCGCAUAACACUAUUGAUUCGCAUGGAUUAGUAGUUAAAUGUAGCGAUACAGGUUAUAGAUGGGCAUGCGUGACAUUAGCUAGUUGGUGAGGUAACGGCUCACCAAGGCUACGAUGUCUAGGGGUUCUGAGAGGAAGGUCCCCCCACACUGGUACUGAGACACGGACCAGACUCCUACGGGAGGCAGCAGUGAGGAAUAUUGGUCAAUGGGCGCAAGCCUGAACCAGCCAUGUCGCGUGCAGGAAGAACCUGCCCUAUGGGUUGUAAACUGCUUUUAUAGUAGAAGAAACACAUCUACGUGUAGAUGUCUGCCAGUAUACUAUGAAUAAGCAUCGGCUAACUCCGUGCCAGCCGCGGC